UACGUAGGGCGCAAGCGUUGUCCGGAAUUAUUGGGCGUAAAGAGCUCGUAGGCGGCUCGGUAAGUCGGGUGUGAAACCCCCAGGCUCAACCUGGGGACGCCACCCGAUACUGCUGUGGCUAGAGUCCAGUAGGGGAGUGUGGAAUUCCCGGUGUAGCGGUGAAAUGCGCAGAUAUCAGGAGGAACACCGAUGGCGAAGGCAGGUCUCUGGGCAUUAACUGACGCUGAGGAGCGAAAGCAUGGGGAGCGAACAGG
RNAcentral lists this ribosomal RNA (254 nucleotides) under uncultured bacterium. RNAcentral describes it as "partial 16S ribosomal RNA". It matches the Rfam family "Bacterial small subunit ribosomal RNA", at positions 524 to 776 of the family's 1533-position model. The record is from RNAcentral.